AUUGAACGCUGGCGGCAGGCUUAACACAUGCAAGUCGAGCGGGGGAAGGUAGCUUGCUACCGGACCUAGCGGCGGACGGGUGAGUAAUGCUUAGGAAUCUGCCUAUUAGUGGGGGACAACAUCUCGAAAGGGAUGCUAAUACCGCAUACGUCAUACGGGAGAAAGCAGGGGAUCUGUGGACCUUGCGCUAAUAGAUGAGCCGAAGUCGGAUUAGCUAGUUGGUGGGGUAAAGGCCUACCAAGGCGACGAUCUGUAGCGGGUCUGAGAGGAUGGUCCGCCACACUGGGACGGGGACACGGCCCAGACUCCUACGGGAGGCAGCAGUGGGGAAUAUUGGACAAUGGGGGGAACCCUGAUCCAGCCAUGCCGCGUGUGUGAAGAAGGCCUUAUGGUUGUAAAGCACUUUAAGCGAGGAGGAGGCUACUUUAGUUAAUACCUAGAGAUAGUGGACGUUACUCGCAGAAUAAGCACCGGCUAACUCUGUGCCAGCAGCCGCCGUAA
RNAcentral lists this ribosomal RNA (501 nucleotides) under uncultured bacterium. Its description in RNAcentral is "partial 16S ribosomal RNA". It matches the Rfam family "Bacterial small subunit ribosomal RNA", at positions 30 to 523 of the family's 1533-position model. The record is from RNAcentral.